This 251-nucleotide long non-coding RNA is filed under the name Coffea arabica (coffee). Its description in RNAcentral is "long non-coding RNA (CARA_LNC007663)". Lineage: Eukaryota; Viridiplantae; Streptophyta; Magnoliopsida; Gentianales; Rubiaceae. The record is from RNAcentral.
UCUAAGACUCUCAGCCUUACAUAUAACUUGUCAUGCCCUGCCCUCUCAGACUUAAUUGUGCUGACUGCACUUGCCAGUUUCAAUGACUUGAUAGCCAAGCCCAAGUUUCAACAACUUCCAAUUUUCAGCACUUUAAAAAGUUCCUUGCCACUUUGGUUUUUUAGCUUUUUGACUCUUUCUAAUGGGAGAACCUUACAACAGUGAUGCUGCUGCAUUCAGUGCAUCAGUAUCAGCAUCCUGCCAAGGUUGCU